Molecule: small RNA, 27 nt
Filed under: Bombyx mori (domestic silkworm)
Lineage: Eukaryota; Metazoa; Arthropoda; Insecta; Lepidoptera; Bombycidae
Description: ovarian small RNA-23156
Source: RNAcentral
UAGUUGAAUGAACAUGGGCAUUGCAUA